RNAcentral lists this transfer RNA (86 nucleotides) under Eubacteriales bacterium. Its description in RNAcentral is "tRNA-Ser". It matches the Rfam family "tRNA". From Rfam's summary of the family: Transfer RNA (tRNA) molecules are approximately 80 nucleotides in length. Their secondary structure includes four short double-helical elements and three loops (D, anti-codon, and T loops). The record is from RNAcentral. Lineage: Bacteria; Bacillati; Bacillota; Clostridia; Eubacteriales.
GGAGUGGUAUCGAAGUGGUCAUAACGGGGCUGACUCGAAAUCAGUUUGCGGGCAACCGCACGAGGGUUCGAAUCCCUCCCACUCCG